This 253-nucleotide ribosomal RNA is filed under the name uncultured bacterium. Its description in RNAcentral is "partial 16S ribosomal RNA". It matches the Rfam family "Bacterial small subunit ribosomal RNA", at positions 524 to 776 of the family's 1533-position model. The record is from RNAcentral.
UACGAAGGGUGCAAGCGUUAAUCGGAAUUACUGGGCGUAAAGCGCGCGUAGGUGGUUCAGCAAGUUGGAUGUGGAAGCCCCGGGCUCAACCUGGGAACUGCAUCCAAAACUACUGAGCUAGAGUACGAUAGAGGGUGGUAGAAUUCCUAGUGUAGCGGUGAAAUGCGUAGAUAUUAGGAGGAAUACCAGUGGCGAAGGCGGCCACCUGGAUCGAUACUGACACUGAGGCGCGAAAGCGUGGGUAGCGAACAGG